RNAcentral lists this ribosomal RNA (254 nucleotides) under uncultured bacterium. RNAcentral describes it as "partial 16S ribosomal RNA". It matches the Rfam family "Bacterial small subunit ribosomal RNA", at positions 107 to 354 of the family's 1533-position model. The record is from RNAcentral.
UGAGUAACACGUGGGUGACCUGCCUUUUAGACUGGAACAACUUACCGAAAGGUGAGCUAAUGCCGGAUGAGUUAUAUAAGUGCAUGUUUAUAUAGGAAAAGUUGGGGAGACCUGACGCUGAAAGAUGGACUCGCGUCCCAUUAGCUAGUUGGUAGGGUAAUGGCCUACCAAGGCGACGAUGGGUAGCCGGCCUGAGAGGGUGGCCGGCCACACUGGGACUGAGACACGGCCCAGACUCCUACGGGAGGCAGCAG